UAUAGGGCAAGUAAUACACGUUAAUGGUAUAAAGGAUACGUAGAAUGGUAUAUUAAAUCAUAUAUAUUACAAUAAUUUAUUAUAUUUUAUUAAUUAUAUAAUUUAAUUUAUUAUAAAAAAAUAUGAAUUUAUAAAAAUACUAGGAUAAUUUCAAAUAUUAUAACCAUUAUAUUAGUAACAGUUAAAUGUGAUGAUAAAUAUAAGAGUAACAGUAUAUGAAAAUAUAUAAUAUAAAAUUAUCGACAUUGAGGUAUGAAAAUUUGGUUAUCGAGUUGGAGUAGUCAACCAAUUAGUCCAAAUCGUAAACUAUGUGCAUUGAUACAAAUUAAUUAUUAUUUUUAUAUUUAUAUGUAUAUAAAUUUAUAUAUUUAUAAAUGUAGAUUUUAUUAAAAAUUGUAGUAAAUUAAUGCUAUAAUGCACCACCAGAGAAGUACUAUUAAAGAUAGAAACUCAAAACAAUAGACUGUGUGACCUUUUAA
This 479-nucleotide ribosomal RNA is filed under the name Spencermartinsiella silvicola. Its description in RNAcentral is "partial small subunit ribosomal RNA". Lineage: Eukaryota; Fungi; Ascomycota; Dipodascomycetes; Dipodascales; Trichomonascaceae. The record is from RNAcentral.